AUACAUGGGUAGGGGAGCGUUCCUGCAUGGGCGAAGCCUGACCGGAAGGACAGGUGGACAGGCAGGAAGUGAGAAUGCCGGUAUGAGUAGCGAAAAGAAAGGUGAGAAUCCUUUCCACCGAAAGCCUAAGGGUUCCUGGGCAACGAUCGUCGACCCAGGGUAAGUCGGGACCUAAUCCGAGGCGAAGACGCAUAGGAGAUGGACAACAGGUUGAAAUUCCUGUACCGACGUCGUCUGUUUGAGCGAUGGAGUGACACAAGAAGGAAAGUUCGCAUGCGAUUGGAAGAGCAUGUCUAAGCAGGUAGGUUGAAUACCAGGCAAAUCCGGUAUUCUAAAAGCCGAGAAGUGAUAGGGAGCCUGUAGAGAUACAGGUGAAGGAACCGGGACUCGAUUGUCAAGAAAAGCUUCUAGUGAGGACGACGCCGCCCGUACCAAAACCGACACAGGUAGGCAAGAAGAGAAUUCUAAGGUGCGCGGGAAAACCCUCGUUAAGGAACUCGGCAAAAUGUAUCCGUAACUUCGGGAAAAGGAUAACCCAGAGUACGUGAAGGAAAGAAACAUCCGGAGCGGGAAUGGGUGGCACAAGAGAGGCCCAAGCGACUGUUUACCACAAACACAGGCGUCUGCUAAAGAGAAAUCUGAUGUAUAGAUGCUGACACCUGCCCGGUGCUGGAAGGUUAAGAGGACGUGUUAGCCGCAAGGCGAAGCAGAGAAUUGAAGCCCCAGUAAACGGCGGCCGUAACUAUAACGGUCCUAAGGUAGCGAAAUUCCUUGUCGGGUAAGUUCCGACCCGCACGAAAGGUGUAACGAUUUGGGCACUGUCUCAACGAGGGACCCGGUGAAAUUGAAAUACCUGUGAAGAUGCAGGUUACCCGCGACUGGACAGAAAGACCCCAUGGAGCUUUACUGUAACCUGAGAUUGAAUUUUGGUAGAAGAUGUACAGGAUAGUUGGGAGACGUAGAAGCGCGCACGCCAGUGUACGCAGAGUCGAUGGUGGGAUACCAACCUUGUUUUAUUGAAAUUCUAACGAGAGCCGUAACGAGGCUGCGGACAGUCUCAGGCGGGCAGUUUGACUGGGGCGGUCGCCUCCGAAAGAGCAACGGAGGCGCCCAAAGGUUCCCUCAGCGCGGACGGAAACCGCGCGAAGAGUGUAAAGGCAGAAGGGAGCUUGACUGCGAGACGGACAGGUCGAGCAGGGACGAAAGUCGGGCUUAGUGAUCCGGUGGUAGAGAGUGGAAUUGCCAUCGCUCAACGGAUAAAAGCUACCCUGGGGAUAACAGGC
This 1283-nucleotide ribosomal RNA is filed under the name human oral metagenome. Its description in RNAcentral is "bacterial LSU rRNA". It matches the Rfam family "Bacterial large subunit ribosomal RNA", at positions 1220 to 2482 of the family's 2925-position model. The record is from RNAcentral.